UGAGGGAAAGGUGAAAAGAACCCCGGGAGGGGAGUGAAAUAGAACCUGAAACCAUAUGCUUACAAGAAGUUAGAGCCCGUUAAAGGGUGAUAGCGUGCCUUUUGUAGAAUGAACCGGCGAGUUACGAUAUGGAGCGAGGUUAAGCAGGAUAUGCGGAGCCGAAGCGAAAGCGAGUCUUAAUAGGGCGAAAGUUGCAUGUCGUAGACCCGAAACCGAGUGAUCUAGCCAUGACCAGGUUGAAGUUGGGGUAAAACCCGAUGGAGGACCGAACCGACCCCCGUUGAAACGUUGGCGGAUGAGUUGUGGCUAGGGGUGAAAUUCCAAUCGAACUCGGAGAUAGCUGGUUCUCCCCGAAAUAGCUUUAGGGCUAGCGUCGAGGUAAAGUCGUGUGAAGGUAGAGCACUGAAUAUGUGAUGGCCCCAUCUCGGGGUACUGAACAUAAUCAAACUCCGAAUGUCACAAAGAUAUACUCGGCAGUCAGACAGUGGGUGAUAAGGUCCAUUGUCAAAAGGGAAACAGCCCAGACCAUCAGCUAAGGUCCCAAAAUAUAUACUAAGUGGAAAAGGAUGUGGAGAUGUCCAGACAACUAGGAGGUUGGCUCAGAAGCAGCCAUCCUUUAAAGAGUGCGUAACAGCUCACUAGUCGAAUGACUCUGCGCCGAUAAUUUACCGGGGCUAAGUAUAUUACCGAAGCUAUGGAUUUACGCGUAAGCGUGAGUGGUAGGGGAGCGUUCUAUGUGCGGAGAAGCGGUACCGUAAGGAGCCGUGGAGCGCAUAGAAGAGAGAAUGCCGGUGUGAGUAGCGAAACGUGGGUGAGAAUCCCACGCACCGAAAACCCAAGGUUUCCAGAGGAAGGUUCGUCCGCUCUGGGUAAGUCGGGACCUAAGGCGAGGCCGAGAGGCGUAGUCGAUGGACAACAGGUAGAGAUUCCUGUACUUACGGUAUGAAUGAUGGAGUGACGGAGAAGGCUAGCGGAUCCUGCUGAUGGAAAUGCAGGUGCAAGCGAGGUAGCCGACAGCCAGGCAAAUCCGGCUGUCGAAAGGCAAAGGCGUGAGGCGUAUGGAAAGCUGCGGCAAGUACAGAAGUCCGUGAAGCCAGCUUCCAAGAAAAGCUUCUAGUGAUAAUCAUACAGUAACCCGUACCGAAAAUGGACACACAUGGGUGAGGAGAGAAUCCUAAGGUGAGCGAGAGAACUAUAGCUAAGGAACUCUGCAAAAUGACUCCGUAACUUAGGGAUAAGGAGUGCUCAUAGAGAUAUGAGCCGCAGUGAAACGGCCCAAGCGACUGUUUACCAAAAACACAGCUCUAUGCUAAGUCGAAAGACGACGUAUAUGGGGUGACGCCUGCCCGGUGCUGGAAGGUUAAGAGGAUGUGUCAGCGCAAGCGAAGCAUUGAAUUGAAGCCCCAGUAAACGGCGGCCGUAACUAUAACGGUCCUAAGGUAGCGAAAUUCCUUGUCAGGUAAGUUCUGACCCGCACGAA
This 1480-nucleotide ribosomal RNA is filed under the name human gut metagenome. RNAcentral's name for it is "bacterial LSU rRNA". It matches the Rfam family "Bacterial large subunit ribosomal RNA", at positions 504 to 1996 of the family's 2925-position model. The record is from RNAcentral.